UCUUGACUAGUAUAUCGGUUUAGUACACGCGCUUGUCAUAUCUCUGGUCGUAAUCAGUGCGCGCGAAAGCUGGCUUCGACUCCCAGGUCGAGAG
Molecule: non-coding RNA, 94 nt
Organism: Mycena capillaripes
Lineage: Eukaryota; Fungi; Basidiomycota; Agaricomycetes; Agaricales; Mycenaceae
Source: the annotation of a GenBank genome assembly